GUCCACGCCGUAAACGAUGAGUGCUAGAUGCUGUGGGUAUUGACCCCCGCGGUGUCGCAGCUAACGCGUUAAGCACUCCGCCUGGGGAGUACGGCCGCAAGGCUAAAACUCAAAGGAAUUGACGGGGGCCCCGCACAAGCGGUGGAGCAUGUGGUUCAAUUCGACGCAACGCGCAGAACCUUACCUGGGUUAAAUCCACUCGAAUCCUACAGAGAUGUGGGAGUGCCCUUCUGGGGAGCGAGUGAGACGGUGCUGCAUGGCUGUCGU
This 267-nucleotide ribosomal RNA is filed under the name uncultured bacterium. Its description in RNAcentral is "partial 16S ribosomal RNA". It matches the Rfam family "Bacterial small subunit ribosomal RNA", at positions 793 to 1055 of the family's 1533-position model. The record is from RNAcentral.